Long non-coding RNA from Corapipo altera (White-ruffed manakin), 1533 nucleotides. RefSeq lists it as uncharacterized. The record is from RefSeq and is a predicted model, not a curated record. The transcript is spliced from 3 exons. NCBI's taxonomy places the organism in Eukaryota, Metazoa, Chordata, Aves, Passeriformes, Pipridae.
GACCCCGGGCUGGGCAAGGGCACUGGGGAGUGGGGGUGAUGGGGCAGGCACCCCUCAUCCCCAGGGCAGCAGGAGGCACGGGGAGGUGUUGAUACGAAGGGGCUGCAAUGAGUGAGGGAUCUGGGCACCCUCAGUGCUGCCUGAGGAGUGAACUGAGCCAUGGCCCCUUCCCUCCCUGCCAGGACAAUCCCAGAGAUGGCAGAAGGCACAGGGAAAUGCAAAGGGAAGAAGCACUUUUGCACUGAGCCCCCAGGUUGUUGUGGCUGGGCUGAGCACCUGGGUUUUAUUGCCCCUCUGCUGCCCGGGUGGUCCCCUCCCUGCAGGAGCAGGGCAAGGGGGGCUGUCUCUGCCCUGGCAUAGCAGGGGCACGGGGUGCAGCCGUCCUGCUCAGGGGGGCCCUCGGUGGAGCAGCAAGGAUGCACUUUAUCAGAGCAGGGAAGCGGUGCCGUGGGUGCUCCAGGAUGCAGGAAUCCCCCGGGAGAACGCGUCUGGAUAAUCAUGAGGAGUGUGAUGGAGGAGAGCAGGCUUCUCCCCCCACAUCUCCUCUCCUCUCCUGCCCCUGCCUUCCCUUGUGAUGCACUUUGAGUGGACGAGGAUGGGGGUUCAAGCUGUGGCUCCAGCUCCCUGGGAAUCAAAAACUGCUUCAGCCCCUUCAGCCCAAGUUGCACCAGGUUCUGCCUCUCACAGCUGCUGGGAAUGCAGGCAGGGCAGGCAGGGGGAUGCCACUCACCUCCAUGCAUGGCCAGGCCACCUUUGUCACACGCACAAGAAGAGCAAAUGCAUCAUCACCCGCCUGGGGUUUGCUGGAGGGGAGACUGGGCUAGAACAGGGAGGAGAUGGGGCUUCUCCCAGGGUUUCACCCCUCUCCCAAAUCAGGCAAUAAAACAGUGUUUCCUUCUCACUGUGUGUGGACACCAUUUGUCCUGUCCCUCUGCCACGGGCAGCCCUGGGAUCUCUGAGUGUGUCCUUCCCCCUGUGGUUUUCCAGUCCUCACCGUGUCCACCCAUGCAGUGGGGGCUGCACAGUAGGGUGCCUGUGAGGUACAGGGCUGAGGGGACCAUGCAGAGAGGUGCAGCCAUUGAACCCCACCUUUACACACGACCACAGGUGUGAGCUGUGCUUCCCCUGGGGCAGUUUGCCAAAACAAGCUGCAGGUAACCCCUCCAAGGCUGAGGGAGGGUAUAUCUGUCGUGGUAGCUGGUCUGGGUGGUGUUUGUCUGGGUCCUUCUGCCUUGCUGGCAGGAGGCUGAGAAGCAGGACCAGGGCACUGCUGCCCACAGCUGCAGCCUGGCAGGAACCAGGCAGGGUGGAGGUGAGGCCCUGGGCCCUCCAGGCUGGGCUGCACACGCAGGUAAGUGCCCCGCAGGGACGGGGUGCCAGGCCCCAGCUCGCUGCUGGCACUCACCAGUGCCCACAGAGGGUCCCAGGAGCUGUUGGGGCAGGAGGAGAUGUUGUGAUUGAUGUCGGUGUUUCUGAGGUGCCAGCUGUACUCGUUGGAUUUCACACAUCAAUAAAACCUAUAUUUAUAGUGUA